This 992-nucleotide ribosomal RNA is filed under the name bacterium. RNAcentral describes it as "bacterial SSU rRNA". It matches the Rfam family "Bacterial small subunit ribosomal RNA", at positions 219 to 1317 of the family's 1533-position model. The record is from RNAcentral.
CUAUCGAUGAGCCUAGGUCGGAUUAGCUAGUAGGUGAGGUAAUGGCUCACCAGGCGACGAUCCGUAACUGGUCUGAGAGGAUGAUCAGUACACUGGAACUGAGACACGGUCCAGACUCCUCGGGAGGCAGCAGUGGGGAAUAUUGGACAAUGGGGAAAGCCUGAUCCAGCCAUGCCGCGUGUGUGAAGAAGGUCUUCGGAUUGUAAAGCACUUUAAGUUGGGAGGAAGGGUUGUACGUUAAUACCGUGCAAUUUUACCGACAGAAUAAGCACCGGCUAACUCUGUGCCAGCAGCCGCGGUAAUACAAAUUACUGGGCGUAAAGCGCGCGUAGGUGGUUUGUUAAGUUGGAUGUGAAAGCACUGCAUCCAAAACUGGCAAGCUAGAGUACGGUAGAGGGUGGUGGAAUUUCCUGUGUAGCGGUGAAAUGCGGAACACCAGUGGCGAAGGCGACCACCUGGACUGAUACUGACACUGAGGUGCGAAAGGAGCAAACAGGAUUAGAUACCCUGGUAGUCCACGCCGUAACUAGCCGUUGGAAUCCUUGAGAUUUUAGUGGCGCAGCUAACGCAUUAAGUUGACCGCCUGGGGAGUACGGCCGCAAGGUUAAAACUCAAAUGAAUUGACGGGCGGUGGAGCAUGUGGUUUAAUUCGAAGCAACGCGAAGAACCUUACCAGGCCUUGACAUGCAGAGAACUUUCCAGAGAUGGAUUGGUGCCUUCGGGAACUCUGACACAGGUGCUGCAUGGCUGUCGUCAGCUCGUGUCGUGAGAUGUUGGGUUAAGUCCCGCGCAACCCUUGUCCUUAGUUACCAGCACGUUAUGGUGGGCACUCUAAGGAGACUCAAACCGGAGGAAGGUGGGGAUGACGUCAAGUCAUCAUGGCCCUUACGGCCUGGGCUACACACGUGCUACAAUGGUCGGUACAGAGGGUUGCCAAGCCGCGAGGUGGAGCUAAUCUCAUCGUAGUCCGGAUCGCAGUCUGCAACUCGACU